UAUCUUCUCAUCUUAGUUCUGAAAUUUUCUCUGUAUAUUUUCUCCUUUUGCUGUUCUUAUCCUAUAUAUGUUGGGAAUGAAUAACCGUGUUGAUCUGGUGGAGAAAAUCACUCCCUGGAGAGAAUCAUGGAAAGUGCAUGUUAAAGUUGUGAAGUUGUGAUACCACAAGAAUCUUGCUUUGGAUCUUUCUCAAAAUCUGUUGCAUAUGGUCUUAAUGGAUGAGAAGUUACACAAGAUCCAAGCAACGAUUAGAGACCAGCUUAUAUCAAAGUUUGUUGUGCCUCUAAAUGAAGGGGAUCUGUAUUUGAUGACCGAUUUUACAGUUGUACCAAACACUGGUUUGAACAGAGUGACCAAACAUCGAUUCAGAAUUUUGUUCCAAUACAAGACCUCUGUUGUUUCUGUGGUAUCUCCAAGGAUACCUUAUUCCGGCUUGUGUUUUACAUCAAUAGAUGAAAUAGAUCAAAUGAAAAAGGACCACAAUUUCCUCAUUGACUUUGUUGGGAUCAUUACUGGUGUUCGAAAAGAAAGAGAUGUAGCAUCAUAUGGGAAGCUGAUCAAAGCAGUUGUGCUAGAAGUUUUAGUGAUGGCAAAAAGGUCCAAUGCAAUAUGUUUGGAAAUGCUUGUGAUCUGUUGGAAUAUGAUAACUUACAAAAAUAUCCAAGAUCUCCACUGAUUGUCCUCGAGGCUUUUAAAAUCAAAGCAAUUGAAGGUGGAGUAAUUCUACAAAAUGUGAUAAAUGUCUCUAGGUUAUUCAUUAAUCCCGACGUUCCUGAGUCUGUUGAGUUCCUAAGCAGAUUUAGUGUAGCCAGUUAUGGAUUCUCAAGACUUGUGACCAAUGACCUUGGAUACUUAGUUUCUAAAGUUGAUGGUGAUUAUUUCAAUCCCAAAGAGAUCAGUAAUAUUCAAGAUCUUCAUGUAGAUAACGGGGAUGCUCAUUACUUUGUUACUGGGACAAUUAAGGAAGUUAUGGAUGAACCAAAUUGGUGGUACUACUCAUGUGUAUGUGGUCAUGUCGUUGUUGAGCAUGAUGAUCUCUACCUUUGUGAUGCUUGUGGUUUAUGUGUUGAACAUGUUAUGGUCAAGUAAGGUUCAUAUGUAACUCUAUUAUGGAAUGGAUUAAUUAUCAAUCUUUUGCAUUUUUGGUUAGUUCUUUGUUAUGCAUCAGUCUAUGUGUUGUUAAGUAGAUUUCUUGGUUUUAGUUAUCAUUCUUGGUUGUCAAUUGUGUUAGAUAUGGGAUUCGGGUAAAGAUUCACCAUGCUGGGUGUGCUGUUUUGUUUGUUCUGCUUGAUAAUGCGGUAACAAAAUUAUUUGGGAAAACUUGUUCUGAAGCAUUUCUCAGGAUAGAAGAAGAAUUCCCUGUUGAUCCUAGUGUGCUUGCAGUAUGAACUCUUUCAUAUUGAACCUCAUUUAAUCUUUGUUAUUUUUUUUUGUGUUCAAGUUUAUUGAUUCUUUUAUAUUAAACUCCCAAGGUCUGUCGGUCAUAUUCUCCACAAAUAUUUGGUGAUGUUGUUGGAGAGGAGAAAGUUUUCAAGGUUGAAACUCUUUCUGCAGUUGAUGCAGAUUACUCCGGGUCCUUUAAAAUUAUAAAUGUCUUUAGUUAUAAUCCGGAAUCAGCUGCAACCGAUGAUUAUAUGAAUGCAAGGCUUCAGGAUCCCAUUUUUCCACCAAUCUAUGAUGCCUAUUUGCAGUAUGCAACUGCUGAAGAUUACAAGACUCAAGUAGUGUGUGAUAAUUCUAUUCAAUCAGAAACUAUUGAAGAUAUUAUUACUGAUCUUAUUUCACCCAAUCGCUGCUAUUCUGAUGUUGACAACGGUGGUUUCGUUUUUAUUCUCGGAACUAUAUCAUCUGUUUUGAAGAAUCAUAAGUGGUGGUUCUCAACUUGUUUAUGUGGUUCUCUUGUGUCAGCUAAUAAACAAAUUUUAUCAUGUGAUCUAUGUCAGCUUCAAUGCAUUCAUGCUGUCCCAAGAUUCUGCUUGAAGAUUGUAGUGUCUCAUGCAAAUGGCAACAAUAUAUUUGUUCUUAAAGAUCGUGAGGUUGUGUAAAUAAUAAAGACAAGAUGCUCGAGCUUUUUGGAUAAUCACCCAGAGUUGAAUAAGGGAUCUUAUUACAAAGUUGUUCCAUUGAAACUCAUUUCAAGUCUUUUGCACAAAAAAGUUAUAUUCAUGGUUGAUGCUAGGCCUGUGGGUUAUGAGAUGAAUCGAUCUGUGUAUAUUGUUCAACAAAUUUGGGAUGAUGCCUCCGUUAUUAAUGUUUUUGAGGCUGCUGCUGAGAUGAAUGAGCAUAAGAUUCAUGUUCUGGUUGAUUCUAUGCCUGAAGUUGAAGAUGCUUUCAGCCAACGUGGAAGCGAUCAUGAGGCUGUGGAGGAUCUGCAUGCUUUUUAGUUUAAUAUGUUAACAUACUACUUUAAAUUGUUGUUGUGGAGGAUCUUCAUGCUUUUUAGUUUAAUAUGUUCAGAUACUACUAUAAAUUGUUGUUUGAUUUGUAAUACAAUGUUAGUCUCUUGUGAAUUCUAAU
This is a non-coding RNA of Arachis ipaensis, 2517 nucleotides long. The record is from RefSeq and is a predicted model, not a curated record. NCBI's taxonomy places the organism in Eukaryota, Viridiplantae, Streptophyta, Magnoliopsida, Fabales, Fabaceae.